GCGGAAGUGGCUCAGUUGGUAGAGCAUCACCUUGCCAAGGUGAGGGUCGCGGGUUCGAAUCCCGUCUUCCGCUCC
This 75-nucleotide transfer RNA is filed under the name Sphaerimonospora thailandensis. RNAcentral's name for it is "tRNA-Gly". It matches the Rfam family "tRNA". Rfam says of the family: Transfer RNA (tRNA) molecules are approximately 80 nucleotides in length. Their secondary structure includes four short double-helical elements and three loops (D, anti-codon, and T loops). Lineage: Bacteria; Bacillati; Actinomycetota; Actinomycetes; Streptosporangiales; Streptosporangiaceae. The record is from RNAcentral.